RNAcentral lists this ribosomal RNA (492 nucleotides) under uncultured bacterium. Its description in RNAcentral is "partial 16S ribosomal RNA". It matches the Rfam family "Bacterial small subunit ribosomal RNA", at positions 29 to 507 of the family's 1533-position model. The record is from RNAcentral.
AGUGAACGCUGGCGGUAGGCCUAACACAUGCAAGUCGAACGGCAGCACAGUAAUAGCUUGCUCUUACGGGUGGCGAGUGGCGGACGGGUGAGGAAUACAUCGGAAUCUACUUUUUCGUGGGGGCUAACGUAGGGAAACUUACGCUAAUACCGCAUACGACCUACGGGUGAAAUCAGGGGAUCUUCGGACCUUGCGCGAUUGCAUGACCCGAUGUCGGAUUAGCUAGUUGGCGGGGUAAAGGCCCACCAAGGCGACGAUCCGUAGCUGGUCUGAGAGGAUGAUCAGCCACACUGGAACUGAGACACGGUCCAGACUCCUACGGGAGGCAGCAGUGGGGAAUAUUGGACAAUGGGCGCAAGCCUGAUCCAGCCAUACCGCGUGGGUGAAGAAGGCCUUCGGGUUGUAAAGCCCUUUUGUUGGGAAAGAAAAGCAGCAGGUUAAUACCCCGCUGUUCUGACGGUACCCAAAGAAUAAGCACCGGCUAACUUCGUG